GGGGAUAUAGUAUAAUUUGGUAGUACAGCAAUUUUGCGUAUUGAUAAUUUAGGUUCAAGUCCUAAUAUCUCCA
Molecule: transfer RNA, 73 nt
Filed under: Ophiostoma ips
Lineage: Eukaryota; Fungi; Ascomycota; Sordariomycetes; Ophiostomatales; Ophiostomataceae
Also listed under: 3 other names
Description: tRNA-Ala
Rfam family: tRNA
About the family: Transfer RNA (tRNA) molecules are approximately 80 nucleotides in length. Their secondary structure includes four short double-helical elements and three loops (D, anti-codon, and T loops). Further hydrogen bonds mediate the characteristic L-shaped molecular structure. tRNAs have two regions of fundamental functional importance: the anti-codon, which is responsible for specific mRNA codon recognition, and the 3' end, to which the tRNAs corresponding amino acid is attached (by aminoacyl-tRNA synthetases). tRNAs cope with the degeneracy of the genetic code in two manners: having more than one tRNA (with a specific anti-codon) for a particular amino acid; and 'wobble' base-pairing, i.e. permitting non-standard base-pairing at the 3rd anti-codon position.
Source: RNAcentral